This is a non-coding RNA of Pluteus cervinus, 77 nucleotides long. The record is from the annotation of a GenBank genome assembly. Lineage: Eukaryota; Fungi; Basidiomycota; Agaricomycetes; Agaricales; Pluteaceae.
UCUCUUGUGGUAUAAUGGAUAAAUUACACACACCGGAUAUCUGAUCCGUGUUCUGGGUUCGAAUCCCAGUGAGAGAA